ACAGUAUGCCUUUCUGGAUCUGUUAAAACUGAGAAAUACCAAAAAUAUGAAGACAAAAGAAAAACCAUUUAAUAACCAUCUAUACACAACAGGAAUAAUAUAUACCUUUUCUAUUAUUGAAAAUACAAUGACCAAGGUAAUACAAAUGGAACUAGGAGCCAGAGUGGUGCUUAGCUUCCAUUGACACCGUGGAAUAGCACUCCUUUAGUCGUCCCAGAUGCAUGACAUCCUGAAUGAUGUUAGAAGUAGCCACUGCAGCAGGGCGCGCCUUGACAAGAGGAGCACUGGGGGUGGAUGUGGAUGACAAUUUGUUCACAUUAAUUGUCACACCACCUUCUACAAUAGUACCAAGCCGGACCUGACCUCCACUUAAGACUCACAUCGCAUGGCUGUAUCGUAUUGUUAAAAACUACCAGGGACUGAAAAUUGUCAAGGGGGCGAGGAAUGCAGAAUUCGGGUAUUUUAAAAUAUUCGAAUUUUCCAAAAUUUGUAACUGGAGCAUAGGUUAGCAUUCUCUGAAUGAGCGUUAAAAAUGUAAAAAUCAUUCUUAUCUAGAUCUACAUCACUUUGUUCCAACUAGAUCUGGCAACUUAAUUAUUUUAUUUUUUCAUCUAUUGUGACGUCAUGUCAGUGUUCAUGUGACGUAGGCUAUGGAUUUAGUAAGCUCCACAGUAAAGUUAGGAUUUAUCUAACUUCAAGCCCGAUCCCAGCUAAAGUUUACGGCAAUCAAUGAAAAUGGUUUUUAGCUAUUUUUUAAACUGUUUUUGAAAAACCACCCUGUAAUAUUUCUUGAAAUGUUAAUUUAGUAAUGUAAAUGAUGAAUGAAACAUGUUUGCUGAAAUAGGAAUUUUAGACACCCUUUUCCAAUAUGCGUUUUUUUCAAGGUUUUUAACCUAGAGGGGGUCAUUGGUAGUGAUGUACCGAUUAUCGCCGACUUUCGAUUGUCGGUCGCUAUAACUGAAACGAUGUGAAUAAUCGAUUGCCAUUUUGAAAAUUGAAAAUCACCGACAUCUAAUUUUAAAAAAAAAUAAUACAAAUAUUCUUGCCGCGACUUAACUAAAAUCCAAAAUGGCUGACGAAGCUGAAUCAUCCUAUAAAAUUGAAUAUUGUUUUAAUGUCCCUCUUGAGAAUCUUUCACUCAUAUGGAGACAUCACCAUUGCCAGUGAAGGGCUGCAAAAUUUAGGCCUAUGCUCGGCGCUUACAGUCUUUGAGCAGGGAGGGAUCUUUAUCAAGCCACACCUGCUGUGACACGGCCUGGGACCUUGGAUUUUGCCUCUUACAACAAGCAAGGGGUAUUGAGGCUCUAUUCUAUACCGGAUCCCAUAAGAACAACAACAAAAGUCGAGAGAUCUAUUCCUAUUUCGGGAAAACAAAAUCGAAAAUAUGGAUUAACUUUAAAUUUCUAAUGAGUUUAGACGUCUCCAUAUGAGUGAAAAAUUCCCAAGAGAGAUGUUAAACAAGAUACAAUCAAUCAAAUGAUUUUAUUCUAAUUAACUUAAUAUUUAGGGUAAAAAAUAAAGUAAAUUUAAUAUAUUUAUGCCAUAAAUUUGAAAUGAAUAAAAUUCGAUUUUUUUUUUUAUUAAUCAGUCGAAAAAGUGCAUCCGAUUAAUCCGAUCAUCGAUUAAUAAUUUUUCCCCGAUUGCCCAUCACUAGUCAUUGGGCUCUCAAAUCAUCCGAUACUUUAUCUACUUCUUAUGUCAAAUGAUUGCUGGAGUGUAAAGGUAAAACAUAUUGAAAGGUUAAAAAAUCUGAAGGUUUUUGAAAACACAAUUUUCCGGAUAUGGUAGGCUAUGAUUAGUCAAAAUUUGACUAUUAUACAUGCAUUUUCAUCACCUUAAAACCAAGGACAUGGUUCAGUAGAUGAAAAAUUAUUGAAAACAGUCAAAUGCAAUACAUUUUCUUCAAUUCAUAUGAAAGAAACAUAUUUCUAUCGUUUAAAUAAAGACAGUGCCUUAAAAUGUAUGUAUAUUAACACUGCUUGUUUUAAAGUGAUGUGUUCUAUUUUUAGAAGUAGCUGUACUCUGCGAAAGGCCGCUAAACAUAUUUUUCUUCGGGAAUUUGGUCAAUAUACAUCCUCGACAAAAUUCAUGCAAAUUUUAAUAGAAAUCUGUAGGUUUUUCAAUACAAAGAUGUGGUAUGGUGAAUUGCCUUAAACAAAACUUUUACUAGUAUAUUUAACCUAUGUAAACCAAAACAUGGCACGAGCCUUGUUUACAUACAUGUAACAAAGAAUUGUGAGCUCUGUAUCCCUCAUGUACCUUGACAACUGACACUCAAAUUUUUUGCUGACCAUUGGUAAUACCUUCGUUAAGCAUUCUUAACAUUAAAAAUCAAAAAAUAUACGGUAAUGAGAAAAUUUUCAGUUCAAAUUGUGUCCAUGUUUCCAUGCCCCUUUAAUUGGUGCGUACUUGAGUAGUUGAAAAAUACCAUCAGUAACAGCUUGUAUUGCUUUAAAGAACAAUUUAUGGUAAACUUGGAGCUACAAUAUGUUAAAAACAAGAUGUGUUUGUGAAACACAAAUGCCCCCAUAAUGGCCAAUUCCGAAGAUGGCCAAGGUCACAAGGGCAAAUAUCUUAGUACCAGUAGAAAGAUCUUGUCAAAAGAAAUGCUCAUGUACAAUAUGAAAGCUCUAAUAUUUACCAUUUAGAAGUUAUGACCAAUGUAAAAAAAAAAAUUAAAGUAGGUCAAAUGUCAAAAGGUUCAAUACCAACGGAAAGAUCUUGUAACAAGGAAUACUCAUGUGAAAUAUCAAAGCUCUAUCUCUUACUGUUCAAAAGUUAUUAGCAAGGUUAAAGUUUUCAAAAAGUAGGUCAAACUCCAAGGUCAAGGGGUAAAAAAUGUUGGUACCCAAGGAAAGGUCUUGUCACAAGGAAUACUCAUGUGAAAUAUCAAAGCUCU
Ostrea edulis (European flat oyster) is the source of this 2899-nucleotide long non-coding RNA. RefSeq lists it as uncharacterized. The record is from RefSeq and is a predicted model, not a curated record. The transcript has 3 exons. Lineage: Eukaryota; Metazoa; Mollusca; Bivalvia; Ostreida; Ostreidae.